This 434-nucleotide unclassified non-coding RNA is filed under the name Hevea brasiliensis (rubber tree). Lineage: Eukaryota; Viridiplantae; Streptophyta; Magnoliopsida; Malpighiales; Euphorbiaceae. The record is from RNAcentral.
GUAUAGUUUUUGCAUACUUGUUUAGAAAAUGUUUAUGGAAAUGAUUUGGCUGAAUGGUAUAUAUGAUUAGAUGUACGCUGUAGUCGGCCUGUGACCUCUUGGUAUUUGUUGAGAUAUGCAACUUGGGCGUUUAUGUUUUCUUUGUAAAUAAUAGCUCAGUAUUACAUUAUCUCAGAAAAGACUUGCCUUUAGCAAUUCAAGGGGCAAUUUGUGGGAAGUUUUUCGUGCAUAUGCUUUGCAGUGCUUUCUAUACAAUAGAUUUUAGUCUGCUAUUCGGUGAUUAUUGGACUUGGUGUGGUAGGUUUAACUAAACUUCCAUUCCCAAGAGUAUGUGUGCACAUGCCUUCUCUCAUGGCUAUGCUUAUCUAGUGGUGUGGAAGGGUGAAAUAUUAUUUUUGAUCGUCUUGCAGACACAGGAUGUAAAUUUUGCAAUG